GUUUGAUCAUGGCUCAGGAUGAACACUAGCGGGAGGCUUAACACAUGCAAGUCGAGGGGCAUCACGAGGUAGCAAUACUUUGGUGGCGACCGGCAGACGGGUGAGUAACGCGUAUGCAACCUACCCUGUACAGGGGGAUAACCCGGAGAAAUUCGGACUAAUAUCCCAUAAUAUUAUUUGGAGGCAUCUUCGGAUAACUAAAGUUCCGGCGGUACGGGAUGGGCAUGCGUAACAUUAGCUAGUUGGUAAGGUAACGGCUUACCAAGGCUUUGAUGUUUAGGGGUCCUGAGAGGGUGAUCCCCCACACUGGUACUGAGACACGGACCAGACUCCUACGGGAGGCAGCAGUGAGGAAUAUUGGUCAAUGGGCGCAAGCCUGAACCAGCCAUCCCGCGUGCAGGAAGACGGCCCUAUGGGUUGUAAACUGCUUUUCCAGGAGGAGAAACUUGCGUACGCGUCACGCAAUUGACGGUACCCUGGGAAUAAGCAUCGGCCAACUCCGUGCCAGCAGCCGCGGUAAUACGGAGGAUGCGAGCGUUAUCCGGAUUCAUUGGGUUUAAAGGGUGCGUAGGCGGACUAUUAAGUCAGUGGUGAAAUCCUGCAGCUUAACUGCAGAACUGCCAUUGAUACUGAUAGACUUGAGUUUGGUUAAGGUAGGCGGAAUGUGUAAUGUAGCGGUGAAAUGCUUAGAUAUUACACAGAACACCAAUUGCGUAGGCAGCUUACUGAGCCGAUACUGACGCUGAGGCACGAAAGCGUGGGGAUCGAACAGGAUUAGAUACCCUGGUAGUCCACGCCGUAAACGAUGAUUACUCGCUGUUGGCGAUACACUGUCAGCGGCUAAGCAAAAGCAAUAAGUAAUCCACCUGGGGAGUACGGC
RNAcentral lists this ribosomal RNA (880 nucleotides) under uncultured bacterium. Its description in RNAcentral is "bacterial SSU rRNA". It matches the Rfam family "Bacterial small subunit ribosomal RNA", at positions 11 to 886 of the family's 1533-position model. The record is from RNAcentral.